AGAGAGAGACAUGCGCGCAUAUCAAUAAGCGGAGGAAAAGAAACUAACAAGGAUUCCCUUAGUAACGGCGAGUGAAGCGGGAAGAGCUCAAAUUUGAAAUCUUCAAGGUUUUACCUUGACGAAUUGUAGUUUAAAGAGGUGUUUUCUGCUGAAGUUUUGGUAAAAGUUCUUUGGAAUAGGACAUCAUAGAGGGUGAGAAUCCCGUAUUUGACCAUUAUUUUCAGCUUUGUGAUACACUUUCAAAGAGUCGGAUUGUUUGGGAAUGCAGUCCAAAAUGGGUGGUAAAUUUCAUCUAAAGCUAAAUAUUGGCGAUGAGACCGAUAGCGAACAAGUACCGUGAGGGAAAGAUGAAAAGAACUUUGAAAAGAGAGUUAAACAGUACGUGAAAUUGUCAAAAGGGAAGCGUUUGACACCAGUGUUGUUUUCUCGAAAAUCAAUUAAAAAUGGCUCGAUUUUGUAUUGCUGAGACCUUAAAAGCUCACUGUACAUUUUUCGUGUCUUUUUUAAUGCACUUUUCGUUUAACAAGUCAACAUCAGUUUCUUUUGUUGUAAAAGGGUCAUUGGAAGGUGGCUUUCUUUUCGGAGAAAGUGUUUAUAGCCUUUGGCCUCUGCAAUCGGAAGAGACUGAGGUCUGCAGCGUAGACUCUUCGGGGUUAGAUACAUUUGUGCUAAGUUAUAGCUUUUUAUAGACAACUUGUUGACUAUAAUUAGUCUUGUAGCUUACUCGCUUAUGCUAUUUUACCUACGCUUAGGAUGUUGAAGUCAUCGUAUCGCGC
Molecule: ribosomal RNA, 776 nt
Filed under: uncultured Neocallimastigales
Lineage: Eukaryota; Fungi; Neocallimastigomycota; Neocallimastigomycetes; Neocallimastigales
Description: partial large subunit ribosomal RNA
Rfam family: Eukaryotic large subunit ribosomal RNA
Source: RNAcentral